RNAcentral lists this small RNA (27 nucleotides) under Bombyx mori (domestic silkworm). RNAcentral describes it as "ovarian small RNA-17938". Lineage: Eukaryota; Metazoa; Arthropoda; Insecta; Lepidoptera; Bombycidae. The record is from RNAcentral.
GUGGUUUCGAUGUGGUAAUAUUGACGG